Long non-coding RNA from Mus spicilegus (steppe mouse), 731 nucleotides. The record is from Ensembl. NCBI's taxonomy places the organism in Eukaryota, Metazoa, Chordata, Mammalia, Rodentia, Muridae.
CUAGCCUGGGAAUCAGCUGAGAAAUGAAUGUGGUAAUGAAAUACAGCAGGAAGAUGGAAACAGGAAAGUGCAGAGCUAGAAGAGGAAAGGACGUUUAGAAGAGUAAAGGGGACAUUUGGAAACUUAAUUCCAAUAUUAACAUUGCAGAUUACAUCCAGACAUUACAAUAUUAACCUGCAUUUUUUUCUGGAUUAGACAGGCAAUCUUGCCUCUGAAUUUCUGAGCACCAAAGCUGAAACUUGUCAAAUGUUAUUGUGAAGCAGAGACUCUCAAAUACAAUGGUUUUGUCUGCCAAGGAACAUCAUCAAACGGCAUUUAAUGUUUUCACAACUAAGAAGUACUUCAGGCAUCAGGGUCUUGGCAAAUUAUUAAUUAUCUUUAUUCAGAGUCACCGCAAGAAAUAUGUAGAGGAGUCUGGUUAAUGAAGCUUGCUGAGAUGGAGACAAUUUAUGAAUGUGCUGAUCAUGCAGUAUGAGUUCUGCCUCCAGCACCCUCUAGUGCCAUUCCACCUGGGAUAUAAAAUAGAGCACUGUGCGGGAUGACAGGCUCAUCAUUGUCAACAGCAUCAGCAUCAGCAUCGUUUGGCCAUAAAAGAGUGCUCUCAGAGUAGGUUAGGAACAGACCUGGAACAAGAUGAACGUGCAAAAGGCAAGUAAGCCAAAGCCCCUGUGGCUGGGCUGCUCAGAACUGACUCAGAUGUAUCUCACCUAAUAAAAAAAUCCCUCUGCACA